AAACGUAGGGGGCGAGCGUUGUCCGGAAUUACUGGGCGUAAAGCGCGUGUAGGCGGAAACUUAAGUCAGGUGUGAAAACUCGGGGCUCAACCCCGAGCCGGCAUCUGAAACUGGGUUUCUUGAGGGUGGGAGAGGAAAGUGGAAUUCCUAGUGUAGCGGUGAAAUGCGUAGAUAUUAGGAGGAACACCAGUGGCGAAGGCGACUUUCUGGACCAUACCUGACGCUGAGACGCGAAAGCGUGGGGAGCAAACAGGAUUAGAUACCCUGGUAGUCCACGCCGUAAACGAUGGGUACUAGGUGUAGGAGGUAUCGACCCCUUCUGUGCCGCAGCUAACGCAUUAAGUACCCCGCCUGGGGAGUACGGCCGCAAGGUUGAA
RNAcentral lists this ribosomal RNA (377 nucleotides) under uncultured bacterium. RNAcentral describes it as "bacterial SSU rRNA". It matches the Rfam family "Bacterial small subunit ribosomal RNA", at positions 523 to 898 of the family's 1533-position model. The record is from RNAcentral.